AGGACGAACGCUGGCGGCGUGCUUAACACAUGCAAGUCGAGCGGAAAGGCCCUUCGGGGUACUCGAGCGGCGAACGGGUGAGUAACACGUGAGUAAUCUGCCCCUAGCUCUGGGAUAGCUCCGGGAAACCGGGAUUAAUACCGGAUAAGACCACUUUAGACAUCUGCCGUGGUGGAAAGAAUUUCGGCUAGGGAUGUGCUCGCGGCCUAUCAGCUUGUUGGUGAGGUAACGGCUCACCAAGGCGACGACGGGUAGCCGGCCUGAGAGGGCGACCGGCCACACUGGGACUGAGACACGGCCCAGACUCCUACGGGAGGCAGCAGUGGGGAAUAUUGCGCAAUGGGCGAAAGCCUGACGCAGCGACGCCGCGUGGGGGAUGAAGGCCUUCGGGUUGUAAACCCUUUCAGCAGGGACGAAGCGAAAGUGACGGUACCUGCAGAGAAGCGCCGGCUAACUACGUGCCAGCAGCCGC
This 472-nucleotide ribosomal RNA is filed under the name uncultured bacterium. Its description in RNAcentral is "SSU rRNA". It matches the Rfam family "Bacterial small subunit ribosomal RNA", at positions 26 to 518 of the family's 1533-position model. The record is from RNAcentral.